This 336-nucleotide unclassified non-coding RNA is filed under the name soil metagenome. RNAcentral describes it as "partial contains 5.8S ribosomal RNA, internal transcribed spacer 2, and large subunit ribosomal RNA". The stretch from base 1 to 120 matches the Rfam family "5.8S ribosomal RNA", at positions 35 to 154 of the family's 154-position model. The record is from RNAcentral.
GAUGAAGAACGUAGCGAAAUGCGAUAAGUAGUGUGAAUUGCAGAAUUCAGUGAAUCAUCGAAUCUUUGAACGCACAUUGCGCCCGCCAGUAUUCUGGCGGGCAUGCCUGUUCGAGCGUCAUUUCAACCAUCAAGCCCCAGGCUUGUGUUGGGGACCUGCGGCUGCCGCAGGCCCUGAAAACCAGUGGCGGGCUCGCUGUCACACCGGGCGUAGUAGAUUUUAUCUCGCUCAGGGCGUGCUGCGGGUUCCGGCCGUUAAAAAGCCUUUUUUACCCAAGGUUGACCUCGGAUCAGGUAGGAAGACCCGCUGAACUUAAGCAUAUCAAUAAGCGGAGGA